This 253-nucleotide ribosomal RNA is filed under the name uncultured bacterium. RNAcentral describes it as "partial 16S ribosomal RNA". It matches the Rfam family "Bacterial small subunit ribosomal RNA", at positions 524 to 776 of the family's 1533-position model. The record is from RNAcentral.
UACGUAGGGUGCAGGCGUUGUCCGGAAUUAUUGGGCGUAAAGAGCGUGUAGGCGGCUUGUUAAGUCUUGCGUGAAAUCUCGGGGCUCAACCCCGAGCGGUCGUGAGAAACUGGCAGGCUAGAGUGCGGGAGAGGAGAGUGGAAUUCCUGGUGUAGCGGUGAAAUGCGCAGAUAUCAGGAAGAACACCCGUGGCGAAGGCGGCUCUCUGGAACGCAACUGACGCUGAGACGCGAAAGCGUGGGGAGCAAACAGG